Molecule: transfer RNA, 75 nt
Filed under: Rickettsiales bacterium
Lineage: Bacteria; Pseudomonadati; Pseudomonadota; Alphaproteobacteria; Rickettsiales
Description: tRNA-Gln
Rfam family: tRNA
About the family: Transfer RNA (tRNA) molecules are approximately 80 nucleotides in length.
Source: RNAcentral
UGGGUCGUAGCCAAGUGGUAAGGCAACAGGUUUUGAUCCUGUCAGGCGAAGGUUCGAAUCCUUCCGACCCAGCCA